Molecule: long non-coding RNA, 460 nt
Organism: Limanda limanda (common dab)
Lineage: Eukaryota; Metazoa; Chordata; Actinopteri; Pleuronectiformes; Pleuronectidae
Exons: 3
Source: RefSeq, a predicted model, not a curated record
UAUGUUUUCACAGCCUCAGCCCCCCCCCCCACACACACACACACACAAACAAAGAGGCGUUAGGCUGAGACGCUGAAAGUCCGGAUUUAAAGUGCAGAAAAUUAAGCCAUUGAAUCUGCCUGUCCAUGACGUACAAAGACACACUAUGAGCCAGUAUGAUCCGACCAGACCUUACAUCAGCAUUGAGGAGUUGUCGGAGAAGAAAGAGGCUGAUUGAAGCGGGACAGACGACAUGGAUCCAUCCUUCCACAGCCAGGAGUGCACCGACCUGUGUCCCACACUUCAUAUAAGACUGGAAGCUACACUGGAUCUCACAGCUACACACCACAGACGUCUACACACUGGAGAAGAGUCCCACAAAGAAGUCAUGACCCAGAGGCUGCAGAGAAACAUUUCAAGCCUCACCUGAGAUUUUGUACAAUAUUUUUGCUGUAUGUAAAUAAAGCUUUCACUCCACAUA